RNAcentral lists this ribosomal RNA (422 nucleotides) under uncultured eukaryote. RNAcentral describes it as "SSU rRNA". It matches the Rfam family "Eukaryotic small subunit ribosomal RNA", at positions 592 to 1018 of the family's 1831-position model. The record is from RNAcentral.
CAAUAGCGUAAAUUAAAUUUGUUGCGGUUAAAAAGCUCGUAGUUGGAUUUCUGCCGAGGACGACCGGUCCGCCCUGCGGGUGAGUAUCUUGGACGACCUGGGCAUCUUCUUGGAGAACGUGUCUGCACUUGAUUGUGUGGUGCGGUAUCCAGGAUUUUUACUUUGAGGAAAUUAGAAUGUUUCAAACAGCCCCACGCCUUGAAUACAUUAGCAUGGAAUAAUAAGAUAAGACCUCGGUUCUAUUUUGUUGGUUUCUACAGCUGAGGUAAUGAUUAAUAAGGAUAAUUGGGGGCAUUCGUAUUUAAUUGUCAGAGGUGAAAUUCUUGGAUUUGUUAAAGACGGACUAUUGCGAAAGCAUUUGCCAAGGAUGUUUUCAUUGAUCAAGAACGAAAGUUAGGGGAUCGAAGACGAUUAGAUACCAU